Molecule: long non-coding RNA, 2034 nt
Filed under: Equus caballus (horse)
Lineage: Eukaryota; Metazoa; Chordata; Mammalia; Perissodactyla; Equidae
Description: lncRNA (ENSECAG00000047183.1)
Source: RNAcentral
ACAAAGGUAAUAAAUGCUCAAAACUCAUUUCUUCCCCGUGAUCACUGCAUCGUACUCCUACCGGGUCCCGAGGUGACACUGGUCCAGGGAGUCUGUGUGAGGCAGACGUGGGCAGUGGCGGCCACUGAGCACCUGGUCCCAAUUCUGGGUUCCGUGACUUCCUGCUGGCAGCUCGAGAUCAGCUGCUGUGGGAGCAUUUACACCACGAAAACUGGCAAACGCUGCAAAUCGGGGCCUGAGGUAUUGUUUUGUUCAUUGUCUGGAGUUAAGAAAGCGAUGGAAACAAUGUUAAUGCUGCAGAUUGAUCAUGGCGUGUCUGUCGACGUCACACUGCGAAUGGCACAAAAAAUUGAGGAAAUACUCUCCCAGGAUUAAAAAAAAUCUUUUCUGAUUCAGCAAAGAAGUCGUUCACGUCAUUGCAAAAAGUGUGUUUGCAUUAAGUCUGCUUUAGCCUGGGUGGUCAGAGAAGGCCUCACUGAGCAAGUUCCAGGUGAAGUAUGACCCGCAUGUUGAGAAGGAGCCAGCCAUGUAAAGACUGCAGGGACAGCAGGUGCAAAGGCCCUGAGGCAGCACGGAUUUGAAGACUCGAAUGCCAACCAGAGAGGGGAGGGCUGAAGACACAGACACCAGCAGCCAGCCUACAGGGUUCCGCAUCCCAGCUCGGCCAUUGACUCCCCCUGGACCUUGAGGAAACAGGGAGGUGCCGGACAGCCAAGCCCGAGUGAGAACCCCCACCCAGGAUGAGGAUCCCUGGGGCCAGGGACGCACAUCACCUGUAGGCCAGCGGGCCUGAGCUGUGCACCUCGCUGCUCUCUGCGGAAGAAGACGUCACAUGCGGCCCAGCCGCAGGCUCCAGAGUCCCGGGAGCCUCGCAUGUGGGGCCCGUGGAGCGCCUGGGGGCCAUGGGGCUUGGAGCCCAGGAGCUGUCACUGCUGCCCUGUGGAGGGUCCCUCAGUCCCUGUUGACCUUGAACGGCGACCCCUGGGUGCAAGCGGGAGACUUUUUGCCCUGGGUAUGAGAAAACUGAGUCUCAGAUGCGAAUAAACGGGUUCCCACAGCUGCGAAGCGUCGGAGUUGGGACUGCCAACACCCAUUGCCCAUGUCCGUGCUCUUAAAAGUCAUUGAGCGCCUACUCUGUGCACACUGUGCCUGACUGCUGGGCCCCAGGCGCCUGCUCUGAGAACCGCCAGAGCCUGCCACGUGGACCCCCUCCCCCCGGCAGCCGUCACAUCUGCAGCUCUCGUGGUGACACUUCAUCAGUGAUGUGGGAUGGGGACGUCACUCUUUCAAGUCUGUGUGCACACGGCACGCCUUAUCUCCCCAGCUGGACCAGCACACCCGGCCAGUGGGACGUGCCUGCGGUUUCUCCCAUGUCUCCUUCUGUCCCUAGCAGGCACUCUGGCAUGCGUGUAGCAAUCCUUCUUGAAGGAAUGUGUAAAAUGUGGAGUAGAUGGUGACGCUGACCACCAGGGCCGAAUUUCAGUUAGGCCCUGGUGCCUUUAUAGGUGACCACAGUGCUUGGUGCUGAGUACUUCAUGAAACUCCUCGUUGCAUCCUCCCAAUGGGCCCUUUGGGACUGGAGGACGCCCAGAGAGGCCAAAUGACUUGCUCAGUGUCACUCCAUGGUGCCUGGACCGGGGAUUGAAGGCUGGCUGUGCUGACGUCAUCACAGGAGCUGGGGGGCCAGUGGGCUUGUCCAUUUAUCCUGAGGGUCUAGGGCAGUGCUAUCCCGUGGAAGCAUCAUGUGAAACGCAUCUGUAAUUUUAAGUUUCCUGGUAGCCACGUUAAGAAAGUAAAAAGAAACAGGUAAAGUUGAUUUUAAUAAUAUGUUUUCUUAGCCCAGUGUAUCCAAAAUAUGUGAUCAGUAGAAAAAUUAUUAAUGAGAACUUGUACCUGAUUUUCAUUGUUCUCCGUCUUGGAAAUCUCGUGUGGAUUUUGCACGUUGGGCAGCUGUCCACUGGCGCUCGCUGCGUUUGAGCGUUCGAACGCCACGUGUGGCUCGUGGCACUGCACUGACAGCGUCUCCAAGGCAAG